CCAGAGCCGCUGCCUGCCGCCCGGCUGCGCGUCCGCCGGCUGGGAGGCGCGCAGUGACAAAGGAAGGGAGGAGGCCGCGCCCGGGGUGCCCGCCGCGCGCAGGCCGGGGGGGUCUGAGCCGCUGCACCCCGCGCGGUGAGUGACAGCCGCGCUCGUCCAGCCAGACCCGCCGUGGGCGCGCGCUCCGGCCGCGGUCCCGGGAGCCUCGUCCCUGACCGAGCGCGGGACUUGGCACCGCGGUAGCGCGAAGCGCAGGCAGCAGGUGCCUCGGCUCGGCUCGGCUAGGAGCAGCGCGUCCGAGCUUGCGCUCCUGGCUGGGGUUCUCGCCGGGUGCUGGGACCCAGCUCGCCGGGCGGGAGACGCUGCGCUCCCGGGGGCUUCUCCAGCAGGCUGCCCGGGGCAGUUUUCCCUUUGGAGCCAGCGCCAGCCCUGCGCUCUCGCUGCUUCUGGUAGAUUCCGAGCGCGCGGAGCGCUGUUGGCACCAGCGUCGCACCAGUCACCCAGCCGCACCCCUCCAAAAGCGCGGAGCCCGCGACAGUCACUUGGGCGGCUCAGGCGCUCCCAGUGUGGGCUAGAGCGAGCGAUCGCCGUUCAUCCAGGAGGGCGCGCACCUCGCAGGACUGGGAGCCGCCUUUGUCUCUGGUUUAACGCGGAUGCGCUGGAGCCUGUGCCAGGCUCCUGGCAACUGUUGGGUCCAACCUCGGCUCCCUGCCCUCGCCCGGCUCGGGGAGAGAUGCCCUUGUGUUCCUGCGGCAGGUGGGAUUGAGAACUGGGACUGGAGACGCCAGAAGGGUCCUGCGCUCUCGGGAAAUGUAUGCAAGAAGAGUUCUGAGAGUUUGUACUACUCCAGUCUGCUGUGAUUAAACAAGACACUGCAGUAUUUUACCCGAGCUUGGCAAAGCAAGGAUAUGAACAAUUGUGCAGGUGGGCUACCCAGGGCGAGUGAAGAGAUCAGGCGUCCAAUCAGGGAUUGGCAACCUGCAGCUGUGCCAAUAUGCCCCUCCACCAGAUUUCCGUAAUCCCAGCCCUGCAGACUGCCAGCAAUGGGAGAAGUUCAAUGGGCAGAGACAAAGAGAAGAACAAGGAA
This is a long non-coding RNA of Chinchilla lanigera (long-tailed chinchilla), 1087 nucleotides long. RefSeq lists it as uncharacterized. The record is from RefSeq and is a predicted model, not a curated record. The transcript has 3 exons. Lineage: Eukaryota; Metazoa; Chordata; Mammalia; Rodentia; Chinchillidae.